UACGGAGGGGGCUAGCGUUGUUCGGAAUUACUGGGCGUAAAGCGCACGUAGGCGGCUUUGCAAGUUAGAGGUGAAAGCCCGGGGCUCAACUCCGGAAUUGCCUUUAAAACUGCAUCGCUAGAAUUGUGGAGAGGUAAGUGGAAUUCCGAGUGUAGAGGUGAAAUUCGUAGAUAUUCGGAAGAACACCAGUGGCGAAGGCGGCGAUCUGGGUCGAUACGUGACGCUGAGGUGCGAAAGCGUGGGGAGCAAACAGG
RNAcentral lists this ribosomal RNA (254 nucleotides) under uncultured bacterium. Its description in RNAcentral is "partial 16S ribosomal RNA". It matches the Rfam family "Bacterial small subunit ribosomal RNA", at positions 524 to 776 of the family's 1533-position model. The record is from RNAcentral.